This 505-nucleotide ribosomal RNA is filed under the name uncultured Glomus. Its description in RNAcentral is "SSU rRNA". It matches the Rfam family "Eukaryotic small subunit ribosomal RNA", at positions 569 to 1077 of the family's 1831-position model. The record is from RNAcentral. Lineage: Eukaryota; Fungi; Glomeromycota; Glomeromycetes; Glomerales; Glomeraceae.
AGCAGCCGCGGUAAUUCCAGCUCCAAUAGCGUAUAUUAAAGUUGUUGCAGUUAAAAAGCUCGUAGUUGAAUUUCGGGAUCAGUACGCCGGUCGUGCCUUCGGUAUGCACUGGUGUCACUGGUUUCUCCCUUCUGAAGAACCAUCAUGCCAUUCAGUUGGUGUGGCGGGGAAUCAGGACUGUUACUUUGAAAAAUUAGAGUGUUUAAAGCAGGCUCGCGCUUGAAUACAUUAGCAUGGAAUAAUGAAAUAGGACGUUUGACCCUAUUUUGUUGGUUUCUAGGAUCGACGUAAUGAUUAAUAGGGAUAGUUGGGGGCAUUAGUAUUCAAUUGUCAGAGGUGAAAUUCUUGGAUUUAUUGAAGACUAACUACUGCGAAAGCAUUUGCCAAGGAUGUUUUCAUUAAUCAAGAACGAAAGUUAGGGGAUCGAAGACGAUCAGAUACCGUCGUAGUCUUAACCAUAAACUAUGCCGACUAGGGAUCGGAUGAUGUUAAUUUUUAAUGACUC